GAUGGCGACCGGCGCACGGGUGAGUAACACGUAUCCAACCUACCGGUAUUCCGGGAUAGCCUUUCGAAAGAAAGAUUAAUACCGGAUAGCAUAGCGAGAAGGCAUCUCUUGUAUUAAGAAUUUCGAUGACCGAUGGGGAUGCGUUCCAUUAGUUUGUUGGCGGGGUAACGGCCCACCAGACAUCGAUGGAUAGGGGUUCUGAGAGGAAGGUCCCCCCACAUUGGAACUGAGACACGGUCCAAACUCCUACGGGAGGCAGCAGUGAGGAAUAUUGGUCAAUGGACGAGAGUCUGAACCAGCCAAGUAGCCGUGAAGGAUGACUGCCCUAUGGGUUGUAAACUUCUUUUAUAUGGGAAUAAAGUGAGCCACGUGUGGCUUUUUGUAUGUACCAUACGAAUAAGGAUCGGCUAACUCCGUGCCAGCCGCCGC
Molecule: ribosomal RNA, 429 nt
Filed under: uncultured bacterium
Lineage: Bacteria
Description: bacterial SSU rRNA
Rfam family: Bacterial small subunit ribosomal RNA
Source: RNAcentral